Molecule: ribosomal RNA, 335 nt
Filed under: uncultured eukaryote
Lineage: Eukaryota
Description: SSU rRNA
Rfam family: Eukaryotic small subunit ribosomal RNA
Source: RNAcentral
CUUCCAUCCUUCUGUUAGCGUCUCUUGGCAUUCAUUUGCUGGUGGCGGGCUCAGAUAUUUUACCUUGAGAAAAUUAGAGUGUUUCAGGCAGGCUAGGCCGGAAUACAUUAGCAUGGAAUAAUGGAAUAGGACUUCGGUCUCUUUGUUGGUUUGAGGGACUGCAGUAAUGAUUAAUAGGGAUAGUUGGGGGCAUUAGUAUUUAAUUGUCAGAGGUGGAAUUCUCAGAUUUGUUAAAGACUAACUUAUGCGAAAGCAUUUGCCAAGGAUGUUUUCAUUAAUCAAGAACGAAAGUUAGGGGAUCAAAGACGAUCAGAUACCGUCCUAGUCUUAACCAU